Molecule: long non-coding RNA, 2641 nt
Organism: Alligator mississippiensis (American alligator)
Lineage: Eukaryota; Metazoa; Chordata; Crocodylia; Alligatoridae
Exons: 2
Source: RefSeq, a predicted model, not a curated record
AGCUCGUUUCCCGCUCGGAGUGCGCAUCUGACUGCGGAUCAAAGAGAAAUUCCCAGAAGCCACUUCCUGCCGCCGCUCCUGCACAUGCUGCUCAGCUGCAUCGGGGCAGGGAGGCGUUUCUUUGAGACUGGCAACGGCGGGGAAGGGUGCCGCGCCUCCCGAGCAUGGCCUGAGCCAGGCGUCCCUUGCCCCGAACUGGGCUGCCGCUCCUGGCCUCGCGGGGCAUUCACGGCUGCAUGGAUCCAGAUGGAGUGGCUGUGUGUCCCCCGGUGCAAGACAGAAGCAGGGGAGCCCCCCCCUGCCCCUUUCCCGCCUGCCCCCGCCACCCCGCAGGGCCCACGCGAGAGAUCGCGGUGUGUGGCGAGCAGAGGCACGAAGACGGGCGGGUGCGCAGGGAACCGGGUGCCCCGUGCUCCCAGGGCCUGUGUGCUGCAAAUGCCUGAGCAGGGGUUGCCAUAAUUAAAAGCAGGCCUCCGCCAAGCAAGACAAAGGCUCCCUCCCUGCGACGGCAUCUGGAGAAGCCCGAAGGAACGGACUCUUCGCCCGCCUUGUGUCCUCAGCUACUUAACCCGAGUCCAUCGCACCCUCGGGAGAGGCAGGAAAGGGGUCAUUACUUCCAGCAAAUUGUUUCUUCUCCCGAGGCCAAUAGCGCUGCAGGGGCGAGGGGGGCAGGUUGAGGCUCCCGGCCCGGCCCAAUAAACAGCCGCGCGUUGCAGACUGUAAUGAGCAGCCCCAGAGAGGCGGAAGCGCGGUUCCUCCCAGCAGAGCUCCCCCCUUCUCCCCAGGGAGCCAGGCCCGCUCCCCACAGCAGCCCUGGAGCCUCCCUCCCAGCUGGGCCUUGCAGUCAGCGCGCGGGGAAGGGCUGAGGUGUCAACACCAGGCUCUGUCUUGUUUCAGCUGGGACUGGUUGGAGAUGUGGAGCUCGCAUCUGCGUGCCACAUAAACAGCCCUCCCUCCCCCCAGCACAGCGCCGUAUGCUUCAGGCUGCCUGUUCUGGAAGAGCCUGAAAAGGGAGCCCUGUAACAGCUUGGGAUAGAAGAGACCCGCUUGGCCCCACUGUCACAUACAGUCUCAGGGUUGGCAGGGACCUCAAGGGUUGCCCAGCCCCACCCCCUUCCCAGAUGUUCCUAAACCAUCCCACUGAAGUGCUUGCUUUUGCACCCAGAGCCCAGGCACUCGGGUUUGUCCCACGCAAACACAAGCAGCUCAGGUGCCUCCUGCCUUGCCUAGCUGCCCUUCGCUGGGGUUGGGAGAAGACAACUGGUCACGGAAGCCAUCUGGGAAACAGCGCACACAGGAAUACAUCUUGCUGAAGCAUCUAGCUUAGGAGAGAGCUGUUUGUUUUAAGACAUCAUCCUUAAGAGCUGCUGGCUCUGGCAAAGCCACAACCACCAAGCUUUUCUGGAAGAAAAGUGGUAAAACUAUCCAGAUGUGGGGUGCCGUGUAAGGCAGGGCUUCUUAGCCCACCAGGUUCCCCCCGCCCCCCCUCCAACCCCUUCCCCCAAGCCAGACCCCCGCACACGGGCCACCCCCGGGGUGCUGGCAUGUGACAGUGGUAUGGAGUGCCACCUUCUCCACCGCCAGCACCGCGACAGGAUCCGUUUGCAAAGCCUGUUUCUGAACUCAGGAAGGAGGAGGCUGGAGGGGGCUGGGACGUGAGCACAGUGGGGUCUCUCUCCCAGCAAAUGGCCAAGAGUCAGCUGUGCUGGGAACUGGGGAGAGCGGGGCUCUCCACCCGAAGGCACAUCUGGUGUGCAUCUCCCUUUGCUCUCUGCCCGGCAGAUACCUCGGGAGGUACAAAAAUAAACACGCAGCCUUGUAAACGCGGAGAUUUCUCGCCCUGUUUCCAAGCGCGGGACCACACAGGACAGCGUUGCUCCUCUCUCCGUGCAAUAAUCUCGUCGGAUCUUACAACAACAGCAUGGAGAGGGCUCCUGGCUCUCCCCCCCGGCGAAGCCCUGCAGGGUGAUUGACACAGAGGGGCCUGGAGACAGCUCCCCCGGUUAAUUAAUGAGGUGACUCGGGACUGGAGAUAAAGGGCUGCUAAUGUCAUCACUUUUCAGGUACCAAUCCCUGCGCUGGGCCAGGAGCAGAGGCAGGAAAGGUCGAGUGAUUAACAAUUGCUCCCGCUCCCCAAGCAUGUUCGCGCCGGGCCCGGUCAGCCGAGACGAGGGCAGCCCUGCUGCUGUCCCGGCCCGGGGCUGGGGACCAUGCCCGGAGCGUGCGUCCCGCCGGGGAUGGAGGCCUGCGAGGCAGCCACCUCCCCAGACCAACACGGCUACAACCUACACCUCCCCAGACCUGCACUCCAAGGAGGUUCGCUUUGUUGUUCAGCCCUGUGAUCUGAUCUCCCACAUGGAAGCCUUUAGCGAUUGUUUGUUAAUGAUCAUGACAAAGGCAUUAUUCAAAUUAGGCAGAAUGGGUCUCCCGUCACAUCUGAUCACGAAAGUACUCCAUCAAAGGUCCCUUUACAGCGUCACUCGGCCUAUCCGUGCACAAAUCAAGGCAACGAAAGUGAAGCCAGCCUGCAAACCCACUCCACGCUAGCUCCUGGCAGCCCCUGACUGAUACCCUAACUUUGUUUCAAAAUUUGAAGUCCAUUUGCAUUUCAAACAUCUUAAAGCACCUUUCGAUUUCCUGA